ACGCUCGACACCUACGGGGGCAGCAGUGGGGAAUAUUGCACAAUGGGGGAAACCCUGAUGCAGCGACGCCGCGUGAGCGAAGAAGUAUCUCGGUAUGUAAAGCUCUAUCAGCAGGGAAGAAAAUGACGGUACCUGACUAAGAAGCACCGGCUAAAUACGUGCCNGCAGCCGCGGUAAUCUGAGCGGGCUGGCAAGGC
RNAcentral lists this ribosomal RNA (197 nucleotides) under uncultured bacterium. Its description in RNAcentral is "partial 16S ribosomal RNA". It matches the Rfam family "Bacterial small subunit ribosomal RNA", at positions 328 to 539 of the family's 1533-position model. The record is from RNAcentral.